UUGGGAAAAGCAGUACUUACCA
This 22-nucleotide microRNA is filed under the name Mus musculus (house mouse). RNAcentral's name for it is "mmu-miR-6903-5p". The record is from miRBase by way of RNAcentral. Lineage: Eukaryota; Metazoa; Chordata; Mammalia; Rodentia; Muridae.